Vigna unguiculata (cowpea) is the source of this 3569-nucleotide unclassified non-coding RNA. The record is from RefSeq and is a predicted model, not a curated record. Lineage: Eukaryota; Viridiplantae; Streptophyta; Magnoliopsida; Fabales; Fabaceae.
AGUACUAUUCUAUUCGCACAUUAAUCUUCUUUAGCAGGCGAGUUUUAACCUUCUGCCAUGGCUUCCAACGAAAGUCAACGCUGUUCUUCAUCACACACUAAAAAUUUUGAUGUGUUUGUUAGCUUCAGAGGCACAGAUACUCGUAACAGUUUCACAAAUCAUCUUUUUGAAGCUCUUCAAAGAAAAGGAGUUGUUGCCUUCAGAGAUGACCAAACCAUCCAGAAAGGUGACUUCUUGGACUCUGAGCUCUUACACGCAAUUGAAGGAUCACAAGUUUUCAUUGUUGUCUUCUCAAAGAACUAUGCAUCAUCCACAUGGUGCAUGAAAGAGCUUACAAAGAUCGUUGCUUGGGUUCAACAAACGGCUCGAACUUUGCUCCCUAUUUUCUAUGAUGUCGAUCCUUCUGAGGUACGAAAACAAAGUGGAGAGUUUGCAAAAGCUUUUGCCGAACACGAAGAAAGGUUCAAAGAUGACUUGGAAAUGGUAAAAGAAUGGAGGGAAGCUCUCAAAACAAGUUGCGAUCGUUGUGGGUGGGAUCUGAAAAAUAAGAAACAAUAUGAAGAAAUUGAAAACGUUGUUGAAAAGGUAAACGACAUAUUGGGUCGUAAUCAAAUUUGGAGUUUUGGAGAUGAUUUAGUUGACAUGCAUUCUCGUGUUGAAGAAUUGGAAGAACUGCUAGAUCUGAGUGCAAAUGAUAUUGUUCGCAUUGUGGGAAUUUGUGGGAUGGGUGGGAUAGGGAAGACAACAGUUGCAACUUCGUUGUUUAAAAAAAUAUCUCCUCAAUAUAAUGCUCGUUGUUACAUUGAUGAUUUAAGCAAAAUUUAUUGCAAUUUUGGAGCAACAAGUGCACAAAAACAACUUCUUUCUCAAGCUCUAAAUGAAAUAAAAAAUAUGGAGAUACAUAAUGUUUUCCAUGGAACUAUGUUGAUAAGAACUAGACUACGUCAUUUAAAGAUGCUUGUGGUUCUUGAUAAUGUUGAUGAAGUUGAACAAUUAGAGAAAUUGGGUUUGCGUCCUGAAUAUUUAGGUGCAGGGAGUAGACUCAUCAUAAUUUCUAGAGAUUGUCAUAUCUUACAAAAUUAUGGAGUAAAUGAAGUUUACAAUGUUGAAGUCUUGGAUGAAACUCAAGCUCUUCAAUUAUUUUGCAAAAAAGCUUUCAAAUCUCACGAUAUUCCGAAAGAAUACAAGGAGUUGACAUUAGAGGCACUGAAGUAUGCCAAUGGUCUUCCGUUAGCAAUUAAAGUAUUGGGGUCAUUUUUACACGAUCGAGAUGUUUGUGAAUGGAGAAGUGCAUUGGCUAGAAUGAAUGAAAAUCCAAGCAAAGAUAUCAUGGAUGUGUUGCGGAUAAGUUUUGAUAGUUUGGAGAAUUUAGAGAAAGAAAUAUUUCUAGAUAUUGCUUGUUUCUUCUCCAAUAGGAAUGGCUAUUCUUGGAAGCCAACAGUGAAGAGACUUCUAGAGUAUCGACAAUUUUAUCCAGACAUCGGUAUGAAAGUUUUGAUCGAGAAAUCACUAAUAAGUUGUCAAAAUAAGGAGAUUGAAAUGCAUGACUUGUUGAAAGAGUUGGGUAAGAAUAUUGUUCGAGAAAAAGCACCCAAAGAACCAAGUAAGUGGAGCAGACUAUGGAGCUACAAGGAUUUCCAAAAGGUCAUGAAGUUAAAUAAGGAAGCCAAAAAUGUUGAAGCUAUAGUUAUUCAGCAGAAUGAAAACGAGUUUGUACAAGAAAGGAUAAGAGUGGACGCUCUAUCAAAAAUGGGUCACCUUGAGUUGCUAAGUCUGAACAAUGUGAAAUGUUUUGGAACUCUCGACUACAUCUCUAAUGAACUGAGAUAUUUGUAUUGGGAUCCCUUUCCUUGGAUGUCUUUACCAUCAACUUUCCAUCUAGAUCAACUUGUAGAACUGAUCCUGCCUCGUAGCAAUAUCAAGCAAUUAUGGAAAGGAAAAAAGUGUGUGCCCAAUUUGACAAAACUGGAUCUCAAUCACUCCAAAAAUCUUAUUGAGGUGCCAGACUUAAGUGAGGUUCCACUUCUUAUGGAUCUUAAUCUUGAAGGAUGUAUAAAACUAGUCCAAAUCCAUCCAUCCAUUGGUAUUCUAAGGCAACUUCGUCACUUGGAUUUGAGAAAUUGUAAAAAUCUUAUUGAGGUGCCAAACUUAAGUGAGGUUGAACGUCUUACAGAUCUUACUCUUGAAGGAUGCAUAGAAGUUGUCCAUAUUGAUUCAUCCAUUGGUAAUCUAAGACAACUUAUAUAUUUGAAUUUGAAAAAUUGUAAAAAUCUUGUCCUUAAUCUGAAUAUCCUUUCUGGGAUCACUUCUCUUAGGACAUUAAUUCUCUCCGGCUGUUCAAAUUUACAUAAUAGUAAGAUGUUAAGGGACUCAAAGGUCAAAAAACUUCUAAUGUCGCCUUUCGAUUUUUUGUACCGUCCAAAACCUCAAGAUUCGUGUGGCUUGUCAUGGUCUUUGUUGUCCUUUUCUGUCCCGUGUUUGGUGUAUCUUGACAUAAGCUUCUGCAGUCUACUUCAAAUCCCAGAUGAAAUUGGGAACUUAAGUAGUUUAAUAAUAUUAAAUUUGGGAGGAAAUAAAUUUGUGACACUGCCAAACACCAUCAAGAGACUUUCCAAUCUUCACUGCCUGAACUUGGAACACUGCAAGCGGCUGGAAUAUUUGCCCGAGCUUCCAACAGUAAAAGAAAGAUUUAUUGACGAAGACAUGAGUUUAUACAUUUUUGAUUGCCCCAAGCUGAGAGAUAUGGAACACUGUUAUAGUACGGUUUUUUCUUGGAUGAUGCAAAAUCUUCAGGUUUACUUGGAACCUGGAAUGGAAAUUGUUAUUCCUGGAAGUGAAAUCCCAAAGUGGUUCAAUAAACAAAAUGCAAGUACAUCAAUAAGUAUGGACCCAUCUGAUGUUAUAGAUGACCCAAAUUGGAUUGGAGUUGCCAUUUGUGUUCUAUUUGUCACACAACAAGAUCCUAUGAAUUUGGAUGAAAAUCCUUGUCCUCUCUCUACCAUUCAAUACUGGGUCGAUGAUGACUGGCUGUCAACGAUUCCAAUAUAUUUCGAGAAAGAUCUAGUGACAGUUGAGUUAGAUCACUUGUGCAUAGUGUUUCACUCUCGGAAACAAUUCAUUCAUCGUCUAAAUAUAUUCCCAAAUACCAUGCAUGAUCUUCAUGAAUUUGAAUUUGAAUGUUUUAUUCAUAAUCCUAAAGGUUUACGUGUUGUGGUGAAGAAUUGCGGGUAUCGUUGGGUAUUUGAGGAAGAUCUUCAACAGUUGAACUCAAACAUAUUUUUCAGUGGAAAUUCUUCAUCUCCAAAGAGGAAACUCCUAACAAGUAAUUAACCACGAAGAGCCUUCAACCUGGAAAUUUCUUCUCAACCACACAAUUCCAUCAGAUGCUAGUGGAGAUGCAUAGUUGUGAGGAGCUCUUUUGAAAGCCUCUGGAAGUUUUAUUAUGAAGCAUUUGGAAACAUUAUCUUUUGAAUAAGAUGUAAUAGUUUGGCUAGUUUUGAGUUUUAAACUUGGAAGAAAAUUGUAUUAAGUUUCGUUUUGUUGACUUAAAUCAAUUUGGUUUAUUUUAA